CCUACGGGUGGCAGCAGUGGGGAAUAUUGGGCAAUGGACGCAAGUCUGACCCAGCAACGCCGCGUGAAGGAUGAAGGCUCUCGGGUUGUUAACCUCUUUUAAGGGGGAAGAGCAGAAGACGGUACCUCUUGAGUAAGCCACUGCUAACUACGUGCCCGCAGGCGCGGUCAUACGGAGGUGGCAAGGCUUGUCCGGAUUUACUGGGGUUAUAGGGCGUGCAGCCGGGAAGACAAGUCAGAUGUGAAAACGCGCGUCUCAACCGCCGAACUGCAGUUGAAACUGUUUUUCUUGAGUAUCGGAGAGGUAAUCGGAAUUCGUAGUGUAGCGGUGAAAUGCGUAGAUAUCAGGAAGAACACCAGUUGCGAAGGCAGAAUACUGGACGACAACUGACGGUGAGGCGCGAAAGCGUGGGGAGCGAACAGGAUUAGAUACCCGUGUAGUC
RNAcentral lists this ribosomal RNA (442 nucleotides) under uncultured bacterium. RNAcentral's name for it is "partial 16S ribosomal RNA". It matches the Rfam family "Bacterial small subunit ribosomal RNA", at positions 338 to 795 of the family's 1533-position model. The record is from RNAcentral.